This 378-nucleotide ribosomal RNA is filed under the name Triticum aestivum (bread wheat). RNAcentral describes it as "partial small subunit ribosomal RNA". Lineage: Eukaryota; Viridiplantae; Streptophyta; Magnoliopsida; Poales; Poaceae. The record is from RNAcentral.
AUGUCGUCUUCCUCUUCCUCCGGUGCCUCCCAGGCUGGCCCCAAUGGCCAAGUCACGGAGAGGCUCUCCCGCACCAACUACGUUCUCUGGCGCGCGCAGAUCGUGCCGCAGCUGAGGGGCGCAGGUGUCUUCGGCUACGACGACGGCACGACACCGGAGCCGGCCAGGAUCCUCCACACCAAGGACAAAGAAGGGAAGGAAUCCACAGAGCCGAAUCCCCUCCACUCCAUCUGGGUGCGAGAGGACCAGCAGGUGCUUGGGUACCUGCUAAACAACCUCACCAAGGAGGUGCUUGUGCAGGUGACCGCGAUCACCACGGCGCGCGAGCUCUGGACGGCGCUGUCGGGGAUGUUCUCCUCGCAGUCGCUAAGUCGCGUA